This 292-nucleotide ribosomal RNA is filed under the name uncultured bacterium. RNAcentral's name for it is "partial 16S ribosomal RNA". It matches the Rfam family "Bacterial small subunit ribosomal RNA", at positions 505 to 796 of the family's 1533-position model. The record is from RNAcentral.
GUGCCAGCCGCCGCGGUAAUACGUAGGGGGCGAGCGUUGUCCGGAUUCAUUGGGCGUAAAGCGCGCGCAGGCGGCAGUCGGAGCCCGGCGUGAAAGCUCCCAGCUUAACUGGGAGAGGUCGUCGGGGACCCGGCAGCUCGAGGCCGGUAGGGGUGAGCGGAAUUCCCGGUGUAGUGGUGGAAUGCGUAGAGAUCGGGAGGAACACCGGUGGCGAAGGCGGCUCACUGGGCCGGUCCUGACGCUCAGGCGCGAAAGCGUGGGGAGCGAUCCGGAUUAGAAACCCGGGUAGUCC